Rhamnusium bicolor is the source of this 74-nucleotide non-coding RNA. Lineage: Eukaryota; Metazoa; Arthropoda; Insecta; Coleoptera; Cerambycidae. The record is from the annotation of a GenBank genome assembly.
GACUUCGUGGUCGAGUGGUAAGGAUACCUGCCUUUCACUCUGGAGUCCCGGGUACGAUCCCUGGUCGAGGAGCU